UGUGAAGACAAAACUCCCAGUCCCCCAGAAAAGUGGAGGCAGAAGAGCAGUGACAAGGCAUUGUGUUCAACUUAAAAAGGAACGCAUGAAGAAUAGCUUUGUUUGCAUUCUGGUGAGUGUUUCUCUUCCAGAUCUUUGAAUCAGCUUUCUACACGCUUAAGUGAUGGAACAGGAAAGACUCCAAUAUGGUAAAAACGUGAUUUCUAGUGUUUUGGAAAGAUUGUUUCACGUGUAAUGAAAAGCUAGUGUCCAGAUGAUCACUGCGGCCAGAUGGCAAUUUUGAUGCCCUCGUCACUAAGACUUGUCCAAGCCCUGAUGUAUGUGAAGCUCAUCAGGAGGGAAUGCUCGCAAGAAUCAGCUAACACAAUAGCAGCAAGCUUUCAGUGACAGCGUUCAGGAAGGGUGACGAUUCAGGCUGGGAGCAGGUAUGUCAUCACCUGACUUGACCACAUGUAACUUGAUGCUAGAAGUACACCACGUCCUCCCUCCCUGCAUGGCAAGAGAUUGCUCUCUUCUCCUGCAAAGGCAGCCAAAGUAACUUCUGUGUGCUGACUAGAGAGAGAAAACUUGGUGUCACUCCUCGCAAGUCCUGUGGCAGCCAGAUACUGUGUUAGCCACUCACAGGUAGCAUGUCUUUGGUAUCAGGGUGUAAGAGAAUGAACUCUGUAGGAGCGCUGCUGUCAUAGGCCACCAAGGGCCCGGGAUGCCUGGCUGAAAUUUGAUGUUGCAGAUACCUUGGUGUCACUGGAAUCCAUGGAGUUGACACAGUCCUCUGAUGGCUGGAUUUCGGCUUUCUAAGGGUAUUCCUUUCUGUUUCUCAUCUUUUCGGGUGAUAUUGCUUUGCUUUCCUUGGCUUUUUAGUAAUUCCUAUUUGGUUAUUGUUUCUGGAAUGGCUUUGCUUUGCUCCUUGGUUUUUUCUUUUGUAUCUUUGCCUUGCAUUGCUUGUGAAUUUUCAUUUAUUCCUUCUCUUCAGUGCAAAGCAUUGGUGAGUGCUUUUCUCUUUGUACUGUGUUUGGU
Molecule: long non-coding RNA, 1017 nt
Organism: Gallus gallus (chicken)
Lineage: Eukaryota; Metazoa; Chordata; Aves; Galliformes; Phasianidae
Exons: 4
Source: RefSeq, a predicted model, not a curated record